RNAcentral lists this ribosomal RNA (274 nucleotides) under uncultured bacterium. RNAcentral describes it as "partial 16S ribosomal RNA". It matches the Rfam family "Bacterial small subunit ribosomal RNA", at positions 523 to 796 of the family's 1533-position model. The record is from RNAcentral.
AUACGGGGGGUGCAAGCGUUAAUCGGAAUUACUGGGCGUAAAGCGCGCGUAGGCGGUUUGCUCAGUCGGAUGUGAAAGCCCAGGGCUCAACCUUGGAACUGCAUACGAUACUGGCAAACUAGAGUGUGAGAGAGGAUAGUGGAAUUUCCGGUGUAGCGGUGAAAUGCGUAGAUAUCGGAAGGAACAUCAGUGGCGAAGGCGACUGUCUGGCUCAACACUGACGCUGAGGUGCGAAAGCGUGGGUAGCAAACAGGAUUAGAUACCCUUGUAGUCC